Molecule: long non-coding RNA, 2705 nt
Organism: Oncorhynchus tshawytscha (Chinook salmon)
Lineage: Eukaryota; Metazoa; Chordata; Actinopteri; Salmoniformes; Salmonidae
Source: Ensembl
CAGUCAAUGUCCUUUUAUUUACAUCAUUGGCUGAGUAUAUUAUGAGAAUUUGGUGAACUGAUCCAUGCAUAUAGUACAGUUUGAAUUUCCAACAGAUCAGAACCUUCAUUAUGGCAGAUGGCACAAUAAUGCAACUGUGUACUGCGAAACGUUAAAAACGACUGAGGAACUUAUCUAGUAAUUCAACAUAAAGCAUGAACAGAUAUGAUCAUUUAUGUACUGUAAACAGCCUUGUAUUCCCACAAGGUUCAAAUGUUUAUCCAUAUAUUGAUAUUGAAUUAUAGAAACAAACGAAAACCAUACAUUUUUCCACUCCAAUUAAUACAUAAGUCUGAAUUUACAUAAACGUAUAAACCACACAGCUUAAUAUGAGCAUGAAAGUGUUCUAGAAUAUGUACACACGACUACAUUUACAAUAAUACACUGGGUGAGAGCCAGAAAUCGUUGAUACUGUCAUCGCCAGUACAACCAACUUGCACUUAAUAGAACAAAGCACAUAGAGAGAAAUCACGGUCAAUCUUAAAAUUCAGAAUUCAGAUAAUAAUGGCUUAUCAUGUGAACUUGCAUACGGUUGUAGCAAUAGUAACAUACGAGUGCCUCAGCACUAGUUUUACAGAAUUUGAUUUGUCUAAAUAAACGGAUCAGGGUUUGGAUUUUUCAUUCUCCCCAUUAUCAUUACAGGUUGGUGUCUUCUCUUGUUGUCCCUGGGUCCUGUUCAUUAGGGCACAGAACGGGAAAUGUUUUAAAAUGCUCUGCAACGGAAAAUGUGAAUAAUUGUUUCUUAUUGGACAAGCCCUCGUAGUCCCUCCCUGUUUCAGUCAGUUUUUCCCUGUUUGGUACCUAAUGAACACGACGCAGGUUAAAACAGUUAUACAAUCUAAAUGAUGGAUAGCAAACAAUCAGAUAUGGCUUCAGACUAAAAUAUGAAAGCAAGAUGAUGAAACAUCGAUGGAGGCCUUUGGGCGAUGUGAUUGUCUGGGUGGCAGUGCUCACAGGGACGUUUCCAGGGUUACCAGGGGCAAGCACAGGUCAAUAGUGAGGAACCGGGUGAUGGAGAGUUGGAGAGAGUGGGUAGGGGUGGUGGGGGAUCACAUGGUGGACCCUCUUUCUCCCCUGUGGUUUGGGGUAGUCUUCUUAUUGGUGGAAGGGUUUGUUGCAGUCCUCUUGUUGGUGGACAGGUUUGGUGCGGUCUUCUUAUUGGUGGACAGGCAGAGAGAAAUGCCCCUUCUUCCCAGAGGUACUCUUGGACCCUCUAUGGGGGUCCAAUCAGAGUCUGCUCCUCCCUGGGCUCUUUCUCUCCACUUCUCUCUUUCUCUCUCCAUCUCUGUCGCUCUCUGCUGUGUGUAUUAAUGUCUUCUCAGAUUGUGCUCCUCGGUGCAGGAACCUUUUCUCAAGGUGAUGUCAUCCACAGCCAUCUCUCCGCUCCGGCCACGCCCGCGCUCGCCCUUCAGGAUCACCUGGGAACAACAACACAGCACAAUAAAUAAGUUAUUUCGCUUAUAUAGCACUUUCGAAUACAAAAUGUAAUCUCAAAGCAAAAAAAACAAAAAAAAACAGGUACAACUAAUUAUCAAAAUGGAAUGUGAAUGGUGUCUAGUCAGCUUCAGACAGAGGUAGUAUGGAAAGGCAGUCUGCUGUGACUUGAGAGGAGGGGGGCAUCGAUGGUUAGCCAGGGAGAAAGGCAGUCUCUGGUAUGACUUGAGAGGAGGGGGGCAUCGAUGGUUAGCCAGGGAGAAAGGAAGUCUCUGGUAUGACUUGAGAGGAGGGGGGCAUCGAUGGUUAGCCAGGGAGAAAGGCAGUCUCUGGUAUGACUUGAGAGGAGGGGGGCAUCGAUGGUUAGCCAGGGAGAAAGCCCUUCACCAGGAGAGAGCUCUUCACCUGGGCACUUCGCCAUCUCAGACAAUCAUAGAACCUCCAUAGCGUAGUAGUUGAACAUCAAUUGAGGACAACCAUGAUUCAAACACACACACCAAUAACCAAUGUACUGUAUCAGUUGUUGCUAAAGGUCAGUCACAGAUGGCAAAGACAAGUCAGGUGUGGUGUCAGACAUACUACUGUAUACUGUUUUAUACUUUAGGAACAGCUGCUCUUUCUAUGGCAUAGACUGAUCAGGUGAAAGCUAUGAUCUCUUAUUUUUGUUACAUGUUAAAUCCACUUCAAUCAUCAGUGUAGAUGAAGGGGAGGAAGGAUUUUCAAGCCUUGAGACAAUUGAGACAUGGAUUGUGUAUGUGUGCCAUUCAGAGGGUGAAUGGGCAAGAUAAAAUAUUUGAGUGCCUUGUAUGGGGUAUGGUACUAGGUGCCAGGUGCACCGGUUUGAGUGUGUCAAGAACUGCAAUGCUGCUGUUUUUUAAAAAUUUCAACAGUUUCCCGUGUGUAUUAAGAAUGGUCCACCAGCUAAAGGACAUUCAGCCAACUUGAUACAACUGUGGGCAUUGGAGUCAACACGUGUCAGCAUCCCUGUGGAACACUUUCGGCACCUUGUAGAGUCCAAGAAUUGUGGCUGAUCUGAGGGAAUAAAGGGGUGCAACUUAAUAUUAGGUGUUCUGUAUAUAUACUACUGUAUACGGCUUUACACUCUCUAUAUACUACUGUCACCUGUUUUACUCUCUUUAUACUACUGUAUACUUCUUUACACUCUUUAUUUACUUCUUUAUACUGCUUUACACUCUCUAUAUACUACUGUCACCUGUUUUACUCUCUUUAUA